UAUUUGUCAUUGUUGAGAAAUUUUGUUUAACGACCCCGUUGAAGUUUUUCCGCGACUUUUCGCUCACAGCAACUCGUUUAACCGUUUUUCCUCCCGACGACUUUUGUCUGGCCAGGCUCAUCCGUCAUCGUCAUGGACCGCAGCUGCAUUUCUCGACACUCUGUUUGUAUUUAUCUUUGCGAGAUUGUGGUUCUAAAGGAUGCUGCGUCUGACACUGGUGGUGGUGGUGGUGAUGAUGUAAACAUCUUUAUGUGCCAUCGUCGAUCGUAAAUCUCAUUGAGACCAUUUCGCCCCCACCCCCCUUCUUCUUCUUCAUGUCCCCUCCACUUAUCUAGCUGGAAAAUUCUUCCAACUUGAGUCGACUCGAUCGUUUCUGGAGAUGAGGCAAGGAAAUUUGUUUGGAAUUUUUCCGCCUGCUAUGAUCACAUCCACCAAGUUUAAUGCUGCCGGGACCGAUCUUGUCUCUUCGGCCACUUGAGCUGAUGUGAUCGCGUCGUCUCCGAGACUUUGGUCGUGGGUUUUUCUUUUUUGGCCAAAAGUGGGAAAUCAUCGGUCUUCGGGUCGUGGCCGGCUCGUUUGACGAGGAAAUGUAUAGAGCGCUCGCUUAUUGCUGCAAUAGCCUCUAGUAUAUAGUGUAGAGAUGCGUGCUUCGGCGCCCUUCUUGGGGUGCCCCCUCCCCCCACUUGAGACCCCCCCCCCCACCCAAUUUUCACACUAGACUCUCGGGUUUUGUGCUCAUCACUAGUGGGACAAGUCGGCGCGAUUCUAUCUCGUGCCGCUAUCGGCCCCACCACGCUAUCUCAAUACAUUUAUUUUUAAUUCAAAAGAUCCAAUUUUUUGUAUACACCCUUUUCUAUCGGCACUAGAAAAUGCGAUCUGGCGUCCCAAUAUGAAUUAUAUGUUUGAACCCUUAAAGUGCUGAUUAAAAAUGCAACAAUAAAAGCUAGAAAUUUAGUUUGCGUUCCCCUUUUUGAAGAUCUAAUAAUUUUGAAGAUCUAAUGAAACACCCAAAGUUGUUGGCUUAAUAUUGAACCAGGAAAUAAUCCAACCUAGUUAAAAAUAAAUACAUCCAAGAAUCCAUCAUCCUACCAAGUAGCUGAUCUCAGCAACCCAGCAUGUUUUCCACCCAGACGCCAACACAACAUCAGUCAUCACAGCGCACAGCUGACCGCCGCCGUUGAUCGAUCUUCCCACGUGCGGUUCCGACCUACUAGAAAAACUACACCCAGCCUACUACACUUACCAACUAGCUGCACCGAACCGUGCGGCGAUGAUGCACUCA
Molecule: long non-coding RNA, 1282 nt
Organism: Culex pipiens pallens (northern house mosquito)
Lineage: Eukaryota; Metazoa; Arthropoda; Insecta; Diptera; Culicidae
Exons: 3
Source: RefSeq, a predicted model, not a curated record